This 338-nucleotide ribosomal RNA is filed under the name Bacillus oleivorans. RNAcentral describes it as "bacterial SSU rRNA". It matches the Rfam family "Bacterial small subunit ribosomal RNA", at positions 1 to 326 of the family's 1533-position model. The record is from RNAcentral. Lineage: Bacteria; Bacillati; Bacillota; Bacilli; Caryophanales; Bacillaceae.
CUUUUAUGGAGAGUUUGAUCCUGGCUCAGGACGAACGCUGGCGGCGUGCCUAAUACAUGCAAGUCGAGCGGACUUGAGGGAGCUUGCUCCCGACGGUUAGCGGCGGACGGGUGAGUAACACGUGGAUAACCUGCCUGUAAGACUGGGAUAACUCCGGGAAACCGGGGCUAAUACCGGAUAGGAUUUCGGUUCGCAUGAACCGAAAUGGAAAGGUGGCUUUUAGCUACCACUUACAGAUGGAUCCGCGGCGCAUUAGCUAGUUGGUGAGGUAACGGCUCACCAAGGCGACGAUGCGUAGCCGACCUGAGAGGGUGAUCGGCCACACUGGGACUGAGACA